This 497-nucleotide ribosomal RNA is filed under the name uncultured bacterium. Its description in RNAcentral is "partial 16S ribosomal RNA". It matches the Rfam family "Bacterial small subunit ribosomal RNA", at positions 28 to 507 of the family's 1533-position model. The record is from RNAcentral.
GAUGAACGCUGGCGGCGUGCCUAAUACAUGCAAGUCGAGCGAACAGACGAGGAGCUUGCUCCUCUGACGUUAGCGGCGGACGGGUGAGUAACACGUGGAUAACCUACCUAUAAGACUGGGAUAACUUCGGGAAACCGGAGCUAAUACCGGAUAAUAUAUUGAACCGCAUGGUUCAAUAGUGAAAGACGGUUUUGCUGUCACUUAUAGAUGGAUCCGCGCCGCAUUAGCUAGUUGGUAAGGUAACGGCUUACCAAGGCAACGAUGCGUAGCUGACCUGAGAGGGUGAUCGGCCACACUGGAACUGAGACACGGUCCAGACUCCUACGGGAGGCAGCAGUAGGGAAUCUUCCGCAGUGGGCGAAAGCCUGACGGAGCAACGCCGCGUGAAUGAUGAAGGUCUUCGGAUCGUAAAACUCUGUUAUUAGGGAAGAACAAAUGUGUAAGUAACUAUGCACGUCUUGACGGUACCUAAUCAGAAAGCCACGGCUAACUACGUG